Molecule: long non-coding RNA, 357 nt
Filed under: Ursus maritimus (polar bear)
Lineage: Eukaryota; Metazoa; Chordata; Mammalia; Carnivora; Ursidae
Description: lncRNA (ENSUMAG00000019191.1)
Source: RNAcentral
GGACCCCAGCCGAGAAGGAGAGGCUCCUUUACCCCAACCUCUCCAAACAGAAGGGGAAUGGAGUCGGUCUAUACCUCUAGGCUCAGCAGGUAUUUGUGAAGGGGGCGGGGGACGCAGACAGGAAUCCGCCCGAGCUCGUGGGGAUGACGUUCUACUGGGGAGACGGAGACAUGGAUGGUGACAUGUGUGGCAGGGGCUCUCUUGUCUUCAGGAUGGCAUCACUGCCGUUUCUGGAACGAGGAAAUGCCGCCACACCUCACUGAAGAGGAGACUAGGAGAGGGCUGAGGUCUGUGAACAGGGUGUUAGCAGAAACUGCCCCGGACCCAGAAGGGACAUGCAGGCCUUGGUCCUGCUAA